Molecule: ribosomal RNA, 124 nt
Filed under: Rhizophagus intraradices
Lineage: Eukaryota; Fungi; Glomeromycota; Glomeromycetes; Glomerales; Glomeraceae
Source: RNAcentral
GAGUCGUACCUUCGGGUAAUCAGCCUUUCGAGUGCGAUUCUGUGGAGUGUGAGGAGCUAAACACCUUCAUGCCUGCAUAUUCGUGCACAUUUGGGUACUUGUCCGUGUGGUGGGUUAACAUCAA